AUGAUGAUGAUGAUGAUGUUUGGUGAAGCUCCUCCCUCUUCAUCCUCCUCAGUGUCUUAUAGCUCCUCUCUCAUCUCUCUCCUCACAUCACACACUGACAUCAUGCUGAUCAUCUUCAUCAUCUUCAUCAUCACACCAUCAUGUGUGAGUGGAGUGACUGUAGUGACCCAACCAUCAGAGCUCACGGUGAAUAAAGUAAAUAAAGCCACAAUCAACUGUAAUCUGGGAUCUGUUACUGAUUCAGCUGCUCGAUGGUAUAAACAGAUUUCAGGAGGAGUUCCUCAGUAUGUGUUAAGAUUUUAUCAUGGCGAUAGCUCACCUUACUAUGGAUCUGGUUUCUCUGCUCCUAAAUUCACAUCAACAUCUUCAUCUAAAUCAGAUUAUAGUUUGAUCAUCAAUAAUGUAGAUGUGAGAGAUUCAGCUGUGUAUUACUGUAAGACAUGGGACUACUCUGCUAAGGAGUACGUAUCACAGUGAUUCACAUCAUGACAAAAACCUCCUCACUGUUCACAGUCACUUCUGCU
Non-coding RNA from Paramisgurnus dabryanus, 524 nucleotides. Lineage: Eukaryota; Metazoa; Chordata; Actinopteri; Cypriniformes; Cobitidae. The record is from the annotation of a RefSeq genome assembly.